Meriones unguiculatus (Mongolian gerbil) is the source of this 76-nucleotide small nucleolar RNA. Its record names the gene SNORD81. It matches the Rfam family "Small nucleolar RNA SNORD81". Rfam says of the family: U81 is a member of the C/D class of snoRNA which contain the C (UGAUGA) and D (CUGA) box motifs. U81 acts as a guanine methylation guide and is found in intron 11 of the gas5 gene in mammals. This RNA has also been called Z23 snoRNA. The record is from Ensembl. Lineage: Eukaryota; Metazoa; Chordata; Mammalia; Rodentia; Muridae.
CAGAAUAUAUGAUGAUCUAACUUCAUCUUGAACUCUCACACUGAUUAUUUGAUGACAGUAAAGAUCUGAUAUUCUG